Long non-coding RNA from Symphalangus syndactylus (siamang), 776 nucleotides. RefSeq lists it as uncharacterized. The record is from RefSeq and is a predicted model, not a curated record. NCBI's taxonomy places the organism in Eukaryota, Metazoa, Chordata, Mammalia, Primates, Hylobatidae.
CUUAGCAGUCUCUGAGGCUACAGAGAAGUGUGAAAAAGAGCAUAGAGAUUUCAGAAGGAGGCAGAUUCAGUGAGACAGACUGAAUCCCGUUUGAUCUCAAUUCAGGCACACUCCAGAUGGACGUUAAAAAUUCUGCCUCGAGGGUGGAGCCAAGAUGGCCGAAUAGGAACAGCUCUGGUCUACAGCUCCCAGCCUGAGCGACACAGAAGACAGUAUUGAACAGCACGCUGGAGUUUUUGUCCAGAAGUUUGACUUUAGAAGAUAGGAAAUAAUUGAGCGUAUUACAAGCAGGAGUUAGAGGAAGAGACUCAGUACAGAAGAGACAGGAACAAAAGUUCACCUCCAUUCGAUGGGAAAGGAUACAAAUCAAGAGCUCAGGAAAAGUAGGAGAAAGAAGCUCUAUUCCAGAAGCAGUGUGGAGCACAGAGAAUCCCUAAUCACUGACAUUAAGAAAGAAGAAAAAUAUUCCUAGGACGAUCCUGGAGAGCAAAGAGAAAGAAGAGACACAGACAUGCAGAGAAAACACAAUGAAGAAGGCCACAUGGGAUGAAGGCAGAGACGGGAAUGAUGCAGCUACAAGCCAAGGAAUGUCAUGGACUGCCGGCAACCACUAGAAAGAAGCUGGAAGAGGGAAGGAAGAAUUCUUCCGUGAUGCCCUCAGAGGAAAAUGGCCCUGCAAACACCUUGAUCUCGGACUUCUCACCUCCAGAACUAAGAGAAUACAUUUCUGUUGUUUUAAGUUAACCAGUUUGUGGCAAUUUGUUACAGCAGCUACA